This 253-nucleotide ribosomal RNA is filed under the name uncultured bacterium. Its description in RNAcentral is "partial 16S ribosomal RNA". It matches the Rfam family "Bacterial small subunit ribosomal RNA", at positions 524 to 776 of the family's 1533-position model. The record is from RNAcentral.
UACGUAGGGUGCGAGCGUUAAUCGGAAUUACUGGGCGUAAAGCGUGCGCAGGCGGCUCUUCAAGUCAGGUGUGAAAGCCCCGGGCUUAACCUGGGAAUUGCGCUUGAAACUGAGGGGCUAGAGUGUGGCAGAGGGAGGUGGAAUUCCUGGUGUAGCGGUGAAAUGCGUAGAUAUCAGGAGGAACACCGAUGGCGAAGGCAGCCUCCUGGGCCAACACUGACGCUCAGGCAAGAAAGCGUGGGGAGCAAACAGG